GGUGGUAAUUUCGCAAUAACACCCAACCCAGCGAUCUCCCCGGCUCCUCGCCUCUCUCGAACGCCGAUUUCCCCUUCUCUCUCACCGACAACCGCCUAAGAACAGAUGCUGCCGGGCGCCGGCUUCCAUCUCCUCCUUUCGCGUUCGAGCGCGGACGCCGAUGCCGUUGGCUGCCGUCUCCUCCGCUCCUCCGCAUCCUAUGGCACCCUCCCCCUCCCCAUCCCUAGCGCCUCCACUCCUGCCACCUCGUCGCCAGAUCCGGCCGCCCCCGUGGUCAAGGGCGCCAGAUGCCGACGAGCUCCGCAGGGAGGACCGGGGGGAGGGUAAGGGGUUGUGUUGGCCUCGGUUCGGUGAUGCUGCUCCUCACCAACCAUAUCCUCAGCGCUACCGGGACUGUGCGAUCCGAUUGUCCGCCCCCUCGCCUUCCUAGGAUGGUUGCGGUGCCCCCAUGAGGCCCUGACCCACCGAGUUUCUUCCUCUGGUCAUAGACUCUCCACGGCCGAGUUCAUCAUCUACGUUUUCCCUUCCUCUUCCUGUUAAGGUCACUAGAAAAGGAAAGGCAUGCAGACAAUCCAUUGUGGCACAGGCUCACAGCUGAUCCUAGAUGAUCAAAAUUGAAGAAUAUUUGCAUGUGGCCAGUAACUCUCUUUUGUAUGCUUAUCUGAGGCUUAGGCCUGUCAGUAUGUAACAUUAUGUAAUUUGAAACUAUGUAAUCUCAGUACAUAAUUGAUCUGUACUUGUCGUGUUGUUUAGUCU
This is a long non-coding RNA of Oryza sativa Japonica Group (Japanese rice), 756 nucleotides long. RefSeq lists it as uncharacterized. Lineage: Eukaryota; Viridiplantae; Streptophyta; Magnoliopsida; Poales; Poaceae. The record is from RefSeq and is a predicted model, not a curated record.